GGUGUGGAGUAGUUCAUGGAGGCGGUGGCCGUUGUAGCAUGGUGGAGGAGAAGAUGAAAAAUGAAGAUGAAGAUUCAUGCAGAUGAACGAUUUUGAAGAUGAAGAGGAAGAGGGAAAAAGAAAUGUAAAUAAAAAUUAGUUAGUGGGGGUUCCCUAUUAAACACAUACUCUUGGACAAAAAGAUCAAAUAGUGAAAAUUAGAAGAAUUAAUGAGGGAGGUUACAAAAAGAUCAAAUGGUAAAUUAAUGAUGUUUUUU
Molecule: long non-coding RNA, 257 nt
Filed under: Medicago truncatula (barrel medic)
Lineage: Eukaryota; Viridiplantae; Streptophyta; Magnoliopsida; Fabales; Fabaceae
Description: lncRNA gene48352
Source: RNAcentral